UUAAGGGCGCACGGUGGAUGCCUUGGCACUAGAAGCCGAUGAAGGACGUUACUAACGACGAUAUGCUUUGGGGAGCUGUAAGUAAGCUUUGAUCCAGAGAUUUCCGAAUGGGGAAACCCAGCAUGAGUUAUGUCAUGUUAUCGAUAUGUGAAUACAUAGCAUAUCAGAAGGCACACCCGGAGAACUGAAACAUCUUAGUACCCGGAGGAAGAGAAAGAAAAUUCGAUUCCCUUAGUAGCGGCGAGCGAAACGGGAAGAGCCCAAACCAACAAGCUUGCUUGUUGGGGUUGUAGGACACUCUAUACGGAGUUACAAAGGACGACAUUAGACGAAUCAUCUGGAAAGAUGAAUCAAAGAAGGUAAUAAUCCUGUAGUCGAAAAUGUUGUCUCUCUUGAGUGGAUCCUGAGUACGACGGAGCACGUGAAAUUCCGUCGGAAUCUGGGAGGACCAUCUCCUAAGGCUAAAUACUCUCUAGUGACCGAUAGUGAACCAGUACCGUGAGGGAAAGGUGAAAAGCACCCCGGAAGGGGAGUGAAAUAGAACCUGAAACCGUGUGCUUACAAGUAGUCAGAGCCCGUUAAUGGGUGAUGGCGUGCCUUUUGUAGAAUGAACCGGCGAGUUACGAUUUGAUGCAAGGUUAAGCAGUAAAUGUGGAGCCGUAGCGAAAGCGAGUCUGAAUAGGGCGUUUAGUAUUUGGUCGUAGACCCGAAACCAGGUGAUCUACCCUUGGUCAGGUUGAAGUUCAGGUAACACUGAAUGGAGGACCGAACCGACUUACGUUGAAAAGUGAGCGGAUGAACUGAGGGUAGCGGAGAAAUUCCAAUCGAACCUGGAGAUAGCUGGUUCUCUCCGAAAUAGCUUUAGGGCUAGCCUCAAGUGAUGAUUAUUGGAGGUAGAGCACUGUUUGGACGAGGGGCCCCUCUCGGGUUACCGAAUUCAGACAAACUCCGAAUGCCAAUUAAUUUAACUUGGGAGUCAGAACAUGGGUGAUAAGGUCCGUGUUCGAAAGGGAAACAGCCCAGACCACCAGCUAAGGUCCCAAAAUAUAUGUUAAGUGGAAAAGGAUGUGGCGUUGCCCAGACAACUAGGAUGUUGGCUUAGAAGCAGCCAUCAUUUAAAGAGUGCGUAAUAGCUCACUAGUCGAGUGACACUGCGCCGAAAAUGUACCGGGGCUAAACAUAUUACCGAAGCUGUGGAUUGUCCUUUGGACAAUGGUAGGAGAGCGUUCUAAGGGCGUUGAAGCAUGAUCGUAAGGACAUGUGGAGCGCUUAGAAGUGAGAAUGCCGGUGUGAGUAGCGAAAGACGGGUGAGAAUCCCGUCCACCGAUUGACUAAGGUUUCCAGAGGAAGGCUCGUCCGCUCUGGGUUAGUCGGGUCCUAAGCUGAGGCCGACAGGCGUAGGCGAUGGAUAACAGGUUGAUAUUCCUGUACCACCUAUAAUCGUUUUAAUCGAUGGGGGGACGCAGUAGGAUAGGCGAAGCGUGCGAUUGGAUUGCACGUCUAAGCAGUAAGGCUGAGUAUUAGGCAAAUCCGGUACUCGUUAAGGCUGAGCUGUGAUGGGGAGAAGACAUUGAGUCUUCGAGUCGUUGAUUUCACACUGCCGAGAAAAGCCUCUAGAUAGAAAAUAGGUGCCCGUACCGCAAACCGACACAGGUAGUCAAGAUGAGAAUUCUAAGGUGAGCGAGCGAACUCUCGUUAAGGAACUCGGCAAAAUGACCCCGUAACUUCGGGAGAAGGGGUGCUCUUUAGGGUUAACGCCCAGAAGAGCCGCAGUGAAUAGGCCCAAGCGACUGUUUAUCAAAAACACAGGUCUCUGCUAAACCGUAAGGUGAUGUAUAGGGGCUGACGCCUGCCCGGUGCUGGAAGGUUAAGAGGAGUGGUUAGCUUCUGCGAAGCUACGAAUCGAAGCCCCAGUAAACGGCGGCCGUAACUAUAACGGUCCUAAGGUAGCGAAAUUCCUUGUCGGGUAAGUUCCGACCCGCACGAAAGGCGUAACGAUUUGGGCACUGUCUCAACGAGAGACUCGGUGAAAUCAUAGUACCUGUGAAGAUGCAGGUUACCCGCGACAGGACGGAAAGACCCCGUGGAGCUUUACUGUAGCCUGAUAUUGAAAUUCGGCACAGCUUGUACAGGAUAGGUAGGAGCCUUUGAAACGUGAGCGCUAGCUUACGUGGAGGCGCUGGUGGGAUACUACCCUAGCUGUGUUGGCUUUCUAACCCGCACCACUUAUCGUGGUGGGAGACAGUGUCAAGCGGGCAGUUUGACUGGGGCGGUCGCCUCCUAAAAGGUAACGGAGGCGCUCAAAGGUUCCCUCAGAAUGGUUGGAAAUCAUUCAUAGAGUGUAAAGGCAUAAGGGAGCUUGACUGCGAGACCUACAAGUCGAGCAGGGUCGAAAGACGGACUUAGUGAUCCGGUGGUUCCGCAUGGAAGGGCCAUCGCUCAACGGAUAAAAGCUACCCCGGGGAUAACAGGCUUAUCUCCCCCAAGAGUUCACAUCGACGGGGAGGUUUGGCACCUCGAUGUCGGCUCAUCGCAUCCUGGGGCUGUAGUCGGUCCCAAGGGUUGGGCUGUUCGCCCAUUAAAGCGGUACGCGAGCUGGGUUCAGAACGUCGUGAGACAGUUCGGUCCCUAUCCGUCGUGGGCGUAGGAAAUUUGAGAGGAGCUGUCCUUAGUACGAGAGGACCGGGAUGGACAUACCUCUGGUGUACCAGUUGUCGUGCCAACGGCAUAGCUGGGUAGCUAUGUGUGGACGGGAUAAGUGCUGAAAGCAUCUAAGCAUGAAGCCCCCCUCAAGAUGAGAUUUCCCAACUUCGGUUAUAAGAUCCCUCAAAGAUGAUGAGGUUAAUAGGUUCGAGGUGGAAGCAUGGUGACAUGUGGAGCUGACGAAUACUAAUCGAUCGAAGACUUAAUC
This 2911-nucleotide ribosomal RNA is filed under the name Staphylococcus aureus. Its description in RNAcentral is "bacterial LSU rRNA". It matches the Rfam family "Bacterial large subunit ribosomal RNA". Lineage: Bacteria; Bacillati; Bacillota; Bacilli; Caryophanales; Staphylococcaceae. The record is from RNAcentral.